RNAcentral lists this ribosomal RNA (539 nucleotides) under Penicillium coprophilum. RNAcentral describes it as "eukaryotic LSU rRNA". The stretch from base 173 to 325 matches the Rfam family "5.8S ribosomal RNA". Lineage: Eukaryota; Fungi; Ascomycota; Eurotiomycetes; Eurotiales; Aspergillaceae. The record is from RNAcentral.
ACGAGUGAAGACUUUGGGUCACCUCCCACCCAUGUUUAUUUUACCUUGUUGCUUCGGCGGGCCCGCCUUAACUGGCCGCCGGGGGGCUUACGCCCCCGGGCCCGCGCCCGCCGAAGACACCCUCGAACUCUGUCUGAAGAUUGUAGUCUGAGUGAAAAUAUAAAUUAUUUAAAACUUUCAACAACGGAUCUCUUGGUUCCGGCAUCGAUGAAGAACGCAGCGAAAUGCGAUACGUAAUGUGAAUUGCAAAUUCAGUGAAUCAUCGAGUCUUUGAACGCACAUUGCGCCCCCUGGUAUUCCGGGGGGCAUGCCUGUCCGAGCGUCAUUGCUGCCCUCAAGCCCGGCUUGUGUGUUGGGCCCCGUCCUCCGAUUCCGGGGGACGGGCCCGAAAGGCAGCGGCGGCACCGCGUCCGGUCCUCGAGCGUAUGGGGCUUUGUCACCCGCUCUGUAGGCCCGGCCGGCGCUUGCCGAUCAACCCAAAUUUUUAUCCAGGUUGACCUCGGAUCAGGUAGGGAUACCCGCUGAACUUAAGCAUAUCA